UGGGGAAUUUUGGUCAAUGGGGGAAACCCUGAUCCAGCCAUCCCGCGUGCGCGAUGAAGGCCUUCGGGUUGUAAAGCACUUUUGGCAGGAAAGAAACGUCAUGGGUUAAUACCCCGUGAAACUGACGGGACCUGCAGAAUAAGCACCGGCUAACUACGUGCCAGCAGCCGCGGUAAUACGUAGGGUGCAAGCGUUAAUCGGAAUUACUGGGCGUAAAGCGUGCGCAGGCGGUUCGGAAAGAAAGAUGUGAAAUCCCAGAGCUCAACUUUGGAACUGCAUUUUUAACUACCGGGCUAGAGUGUGUCAGAGGGAGGUGGAAUUCCGCGUGUAGCAGUGAAAUGCGUAGAUAUGCGGAGGAACACCGAUGGCGAAGGCAGCCUCCUGGGAUAACACUGACGCUCAUGCACGAAAGCGUGGGGAGCAAACAGG
Molecule: ribosomal RNA, 429 nt
Filed under: Acidobacteriota bacterium
Lineage: Bacteria; Pseudomonadati; Acidobacteriota
Description: Acidobacteria bacterium partial 16S ribosomal RNA
Rfam family: Bacterial small subunit ribosomal RNA
Source: RNAcentral